Molecule: long non-coding RNA, 1832 nt
Organism: Daphnia magna
Lineage: Eukaryota; Metazoa; Arthropoda; Branchiopoda; Diplostraca; Daphniidae
Exons: 2
Source: RefSeq, a predicted model, not a curated record
CCUGUUAAUGAUCAGUUGUAACAUUACCUUAUGAUACAACUAGAAAAUUUAGGUUGGAAAAGAAUAUUAAGAGCUGUUUUCUUUAUGGAGUGCCAUUGGUAUAAAAAUUGGAUGCAUUUGACUAAACGAGAUAAAAAACGUGCUGGCAAAGCAAGCCAUGCUUCUACUUCGAAAAAUUUUGAAUAAGUAUGUUACAAUGUUUAUUAUGAAUUAGUCAGUGCCAUAGUACCUUCAAUUAAGUAUGAGUUUACUUUAAAGUUGUAAAGCACAAAAUGGAAAACUUACGCUAAAUUCCAGGUAAAACCACACGACAUCAGGAGUGUAAUUUUAACAAGAACUUAAUGACGCGGGUAUUCUCGGUGGACGCUAAACCAGAAAUGAAACAGGUUUUGUCAUGUCUUGAAAAUAUGCAGCAGUGGCUCCAUCUACUUUGAAACCCAACUUAAAAUCCUCUCACUUCUCCAUAAAAGAAGUAAGUCCGACUGUUUUGUAAAUUGUAUUGUUUUUUUGUAAUUGUUGUUGAAUUUUAAAUCCAAAUCAUUUAAAUUUUUUACACAAAACGUUUUAUUGAAAAAAAAAAAGCUAUUUUCCUGUCAGAAUUCCGCUAGAUGGUGAUGCCAGUGACAGUACUUUUCAAAACAAUGGGCCAAAUUGAGUUAGUCAUACAGUUCGUCUGCUUCAGAAAUAGUUAAUUUGCUUCAGGAGUGAGGUUCAUGAAAGCACGUAAAUUUUCUGUUUUUAAAAGAAAAUUGUUUUUUAUCAUUUGUAAUUUUAAAUGGCUGUAAAGAAGCGAAUCAAAAGUUACAAUUCGGGAAUGGGUGCUGUGCUGCUUAUGAUCUUCUGAUUCAUAAUUAUAAAGGCCCUCUUUUAUUGUCUAAUGUUUAACAGUGUUGGUAGUGAAACAAAACUUAGCAACGCAGUUUUGAAGAGGAUCACGAAAAUGUGAAUCUUUUUUCUGACAGACCAACAAAUAAGAAGUUAUUUGGCAUUUUAAAACCGGAAGUAAAACCGGUAGUUGAAAUUCCAGAAAUCUAAAAAAUGAACUUUGUUCUCCUCUAAAUCGUUAACAAGAUUUUGAUAGUUGUAAAAGUAAACGGUUGUUAAUUGAAAGUUACGCGGUGUUUUAAAAGUUCUAGAAGUACAAUUUCAGUUCUGACAAAUAAAUAGACUUGAAUCGAAAAAUCAUACAUUUAACACGAUUAAACCCGUGACUUACUUGAUUUAUAGUGAAAACCUGCAACCGCAAAAUCGCGAAUUUGGGUCAAAUUUCAAAAUCAAAAAAAAAAAAAAAAUGUUGCACGAAGGCUACCUAUCGGAAUGAGUAAUACAGUUGAAAAAAGGUUACAGAUGGGAAAAAGUAGAUGUCGUCUUUAACCCUCCAACAGUCUAGAUUGAGUCUAAUUCACUCCGCAUUCCCUAAUCGUUGAAACGAUUGUCACGAAAAAACCGGCAGUCGUACGUAUUAUUGUGUCGUCUACGCGUGUCACGUGACUGCUUAAAAGAACGAACGCUUAAAAAAACGUUUCAGUCACUUUUGCUGACGCGCUCGAAACGACAUCUAGCGGCAAAAAUAGGGUCGAUUGAAGAUUGAUUUACAUAAGGAACACUUUCGAAAGAAUAUCCCUACCAGGAAAUUCCACAUUUGACUAAAAACUCCAUGCGAUGAGGAACUUCAAUAUAUUUCUGCAUGUGAUGAACAUUCACAAUUGCGGGAAACAUAAUGUGGUUAAAGCAGGCUAAUCUCCAAGACCCGCUAACAAAAUCUCGAACUUCAUAAACUGAUUAUAAUAGACAUAGAAUCAAUGGGAAAACGUUAGGUAAAACCAUCGAAA